GAUGAACGCUGGCGGCGUGCCUAAUACAUGCAAGUCGAGCGAACAGACGAGGCGCUUGCUCCUCUGACGUUAGCGGCGGACGGGUGAGUAACACGUGGAUCACCUACCUAUCAGACUGGGAUAACUUCGGGACACCGGAGCUAAUCCCGUAUAAUAUCUUGAACCGCAUGGUUCAUUAGUGAAAUACGGUUUUUCUGUCACUUAUAGAUGGAUCCGCGCCGCAUUAGCUAGUUGUUCAGGUAACGGCUUACCAAGGCAACGAUGCGUAGCCGACCUGAGAGGGGGAUAGGCCACACUGGAACGGAGCCACGGUCCAGACUACUACGGGAGGCAGCAGAAGGGAAUCGGCCGCAAUGGGCGAAAGCCUGACGGAGCAACGCCGCGGGAGUGAUGAAGGUCUUCGGAUCGUAAAACUCUGUUAUUAGGGAAGAACAAAUGUGUAAGUAACUAUGCAGGUCUUGACGGUACCGAAUCAGAAAGCCACGGCUAACUACGUG
This 497-nucleotide ribosomal RNA is filed under the name uncultured bacterium. RNAcentral describes it as "partial 16S ribosomal RNA". It matches the Rfam family "Bacterial small subunit ribosomal RNA", at positions 28 to 507 of the family's 1533-position model. The record is from RNAcentral.